UACAGAGGGGGCAAGCGUUAUUCGGAAUUAUUGGGCGUAAAGGGCGCGUAGGCGGCUUUGCAAGUGGCGGGUGAAAUCCCUCGGCUUAACCGAGGAACUGCCUGUCAAACUGCAUGGCUUGAGACCGGGAGAGGUGAGUGGAAUUCCCAGUGUAGCGGUGAAAUGCGUAGAUAUUGGGAGGAACACCAGUGGCGAAGGCGGCUCACCGGACCGGUACUGACGCUGAUGCGCGAAAGCGUGGGGAGCAAACAGG
This 253-nucleotide ribosomal RNA is filed under the name uncultured bacterium. RNAcentral's name for it is "partial 16S ribosomal RNA". It matches the Rfam family "Bacterial small subunit ribosomal RNA", at positions 524 to 776 of the family's 1533-position model. The record is from RNAcentral.